This 253-nucleotide ribosomal RNA is filed under the name uncultured bacterium. RNAcentral describes it as "partial 16S ribosomal RNA". It matches the Rfam family "Bacterial small subunit ribosomal RNA", at positions 524 to 776 of the family's 1533-position model. The record is from RNAcentral.
UACGUAGGGGGCUAGCGUUGUCCGGAAUUAUUGGGCGUAAAGAGCGUGUAGGCGGUUCGAUAAGUUCGCUGUAAAAGUCAGGGGCUCAACCCUUGAAAGCCGGUGAAAACUAUCGGACUAGAGUGCGGAAGAGGCGAGUGGAAUUCCUGGUGUAGCGGUGAAAUGCGCAGAUAUCAGGAGGAACACCCAUUGCGAAGGCAGCUCGCUGGUACGCAACUGACGCUGAGACGCGAAAGCGUGGGGAGCAAACAGG